Molecule: non-coding RNA, 59 nt
Organism: Biomphalaria glabrata
Lineage: Eukaryota; Metazoa; Mollusca; Gastropoda; Planorbidae
Source: Rfam
AAAGCUAAGCGGUAAAGCGCUUGGCUUCAGAACCGGGGGUCCCGGGUUCAAAUCCUGGU